GACGAACGCUGGCGGCGUGCUUAACACAUGCAAGUCGAACGGUGAAGCGCCUUCCUUUUUGGUUGGUGUUGAUGAGUGGCGAACGGGGGAGUAACAGGUGAGUAACCUGCCCCCUUCUUCUGGAUAACCGCAUGAAAGUGUGGCUAAUACGGGAUAGUCUUGGUCUGUCGCUUGAUGGGUCUGGGAAAGAUAUUGUUUCGGUUGGGGAUGGGCUCGCGGCGGAUCAGCUUGUUGGUGGGGUGAUGGCCUACCAAGGCGGUGACGGGUAGCCGGCCUGAGAGGAGGAACGGGCACAAUGGGACGGGGACACGGCCCAGGCGCCGACGGGGGGCAGCAGGGGGGGAUCUUCCGCAAGGGAGGGAAGGCGGACGGAGCAACGCCGCGGGGGGGAGGACGGCCGUCGGGUUGGAAAGGGCGGUUAAUCGGGGCGAAAGGCCUUCGUGCGAAUAGAUAGAAGGAUUGACGGUACCUAAAGAGAAAGCCACGGCUAACUACGUG
Molecule: ribosomal RNA, 498 nt
Filed under: uncultured bacterium
Lineage: Bacteria
Description: partial 16S ribosomal RNA
Rfam family: Bacterial small subunit ribosomal RNA
Source: RNAcentral